CGAACGAACUUCCGUUAAUUGAUUAUGACGUACUUGUACUGAUUGAGAUUUUAACACGAAGUGAGUGGCGAACGGGUGAGUAACACGUGGGUAACCUGCCCAGAAGUAGGGGAUAACACCUGGAAACAGAUGCUAAUACCGUAUAACAGAGAAAACCGCAUGGUUUUCUUUUAAAAGAUGGCUCUGCUAUCACUUCUGGAUGGACCCGCGGCGUAUUAGCUAGUUGGUGAGGUAAAGGCUCACCAAGGCAGUGAUACGUAGCCGACCUGAGAGGGUAAUCGGCCACAUUGGGACUGAGACACGGCCCAGACUCCUACGGGAGGCAGCAGUAGGGAAUCUUCCACAAUGGACGCAAGUCUGAUGGAGCAACGCCGCGUGAGUGAAGAAGGGUUUCGGCUCGUAAAGCUCUGUUGUUAAAGAAGAACGUGGGUAAGAGUAACUGUUUACCCAGUGACGGUAUUUAACCAGAAAGCCACGGCUAACUACGUGCCAGCAGCCGCGGUAAUACGUAGGUGGCAAGCGUUAUCCGGAUUUAUUGGGCGUAAAGCGAGCGCAGGCGGUCUUUUAAGUCUAAUGUGAAAGCCUUCGGCUCAACCGAAGAAGUGCAUUGGAAACUGGGAGACUUGAGUGCAGAAGAGGACAGUGGAACUCCAUGUGUAGCGGUGAAAUGCGUAGAUAUAUGGAAGAACACCAGUGGCGAAGGCGGCUGUCUGGUCUGCAACUGACGCUGAGGCUCGAAAGCAUGGGUAGCGAACAGGAUUAGAUACCCUGGUAGUCCAUGCCGUAAACGAUGAUUACUAAGUGUUGGAGGGUUUCCGCCCUUCAGUGCUGCAGCUAACGCAUUAAGUAAUCCGCCUGGGGAGUACGACCGC
This 872-nucleotide ribosomal RNA is filed under the name Pediococcus pentosaceus. RNAcentral describes it as "bacterial SSU rRNA". It matches the Rfam family "Bacterial small subunit ribosomal RNA", at positions 63 to 889 of the family's 1533-position model. Lineage: Bacteria; Bacillati; Bacillota; Bacilli; Lactobacillales; Lactobacillaceae. The record is from RNAcentral.